ACGAGGCUUUUUAGGAGCUCAUUGGGUUCAGAUUCCAUAGGAACUCCGAAGUUAAGCGAGAUCGCGCGAGACCAAUCCCAUGAUGGGUGACCCAUUGGGAAGUUCUUGUGUGAGUUCUUAGAAACAAAACCUUGAAGGCGUGGUCGAGGCCCAAAGUGGACAAUAUUGUGCUACGGCGAAGGCAAGGCCUGAGAUGUGGCGGAGCCUGGGUUGGGAUGUGACAAUUUGAUAUCAGAGCCAAUCCUUGGCCGGAAGUGUGCCGAUGAGGACGUCGGGUCUCUAAGGGGGGUGGAUUGUUAUAUCCCACAUUGCCUAAGGGAGUGGAUCUUCUAUGCCUUAAAUGUAUAUGCCCACCUCCAUAUAGCAUGAGGCUUUUUGGGAGCUCACUAGCUUGAGAUUCCAAAGGAACUCCGAAGUUAAGCGAGAUCGCGCAAGAGCAAUCCCAUGAUGGGUGACCCAUUGGGAAGUUCUCGUGUGAGUUUCC
This 484-nucleotide small RNA is filed under the name Malus domestica (apple). Lineage: Eukaryota; Viridiplantae; Streptophyta; Magnoliopsida; Rosales; Rosaceae. The record is from RNAcentral.